Molecule: ribosomal RNA, 751 nt
Filed under: uncultured Actinomyces sp.
Lineage: Bacteria; Bacillati; Actinomycetota; Actinomycetes; Actinomycetales; Actinomycetaceae
Description: bacterial SSU rRNA
Rfam family: Bacterial small subunit ribosomal RNA
Source: RNAcentral
GACGAACGCUGGCGGCGUGCUUAACACAUGCAAGUCGAACGCUGAAGCCUAGCUUGCUGGGUGGAUGAGUGGCGAACGGGUGAGUAACACGUGAGUAACCUGCCCUCUUCUUUGGGAUAACGCCCGGAAACGGGUGCUAAUACUGGAUAUUCACUGAUCUUCGCAUGGGGGUUGGUGGAAAGGUUUUUUCUGGUGGGGGAUGGGCUCGCGGCCUAUCAGCUUGUUGGUGGGGUGAUGGCCUACCAAGGCUUUGACGGGUAGCCGGCCUGAGAGGGUGACCGGUCACAUUGGGACUGAGAUACGGCCCAGACUCCUACGGGAGGCAGCAGUGGGGAAUAUUGCACAAUGGGCGAAAGCCUGAUGCAGCGACGCCGCGUGAGGGAUGGAGGCCUUCGGGUUGUAAACCUCUUUCGCUCAUGGUCAAGCCGCAACUUAGGGUUGUGGUGAGGGUAGUGGGUAAAGAAGCGCCGGCUAACUACGUGCCAGCAGCCGCGGUAAUACGUAGGGCGCGAGCGUUGUCCGGAAUUAUUGGGCGUAAAGGGCUUGUAGGCGGUUGGUCGCGUCUGCCGUGAAAUCCUCUGGCUUAACUGGGGGCGUGCGGUGGGUACGGGCUGACUUGAGUGCGGUAGGGGAGACUGGAACUCCUGGUGUAGCGGUGGAAUGCGCAGAUAUCAGGAAGAACACCGGUGGCGAAGGCGGGUCUCUGGGCCGUUACUGACGCUGAGGAGCGAAGGCGUGGGGAGCGAACAGG